GGGAGAAGCUGGAGAGAGAAAGGUUGCGGGCCAGAAAGAGAGAGGGGGGUUAGGGGAAUAUGGUGACUCGAGAGAGAGAGUUAUGGCUGUGAUUUUUUAAGACUAUUUUUUUAUUUUUAUUUUAUUUUCUUGGUGAAAUUCACCGGAGGCUUUUAUCGUCGCUGGAGAGGAGAGAAUUCAGAAUUCUCUCUCUUCUGGUGUGUUUCUUCAAUCGGCGAGACGUUUAGUUUUUCAAAGAAGUUUUGUGGUUUUCUGGCGAAGCGUUUCGGGUUCGUUUGUUUUGUAGUCGGCGAGGUGUUGGGGAAAUAUAUAUGACCGUUUGAUCCUCAGAGAUCACGGGAAUUCCCCAUUUUGUUCACAAUGCAGCGGUUCAUUUUAAAAAUCAUUUGAUGUUUUAUUGAAGAUUACUUUCAAAAUUGGUGCUUUUCAUAUCGAUUUGUGCGAUUUCUGUAGUGGAGAUUAUAGAAAGGUUUUGGGCUUUUAACGGAUAUAUAUAUUUUUUUUGCGAAACGAUAAAAGCGGUUUUGGCUUCUGUGCUCAUUCAAGUUUGUUUUCGACUGAUUAUUGGUGGUGGGUUCAUACACAAUUUAAGUGUUGAAAGUUUUGCUUUUGAACUAGCUUUUCUAUUUUUAUGGGUUUCUAAUUUUGGUGGAGAGUGGACUAAAAUUUCUUUGUUCUUACAUACUAAUUGGGUAGUUUUGUAGGGAAAACCAUUUUCUUGUUAUCAUUGAUCGUGCUUUAGUUGUUUUUGGCGGAAUUUGGCUUUUCUUAAUUGCCAUAAUUUGAGAGAGAUUAAUGGGUUUAAUGGGUUGAAAUCUUAAAUUCCUGAUAUUUGAUAUCUGUUUUAGUUUCAUUAAAUGGAGUCGACCUCUUCUUAGUCCGGUGGUUGCUGCAAAAGACGGGAGCUACUUUGCAACAUCGAUUUCGUUUUUGAGAAGUGGGGGCAAGAAUGGCAGUUUCUUUUACUCGGUUUUCAUGGUGGUUAUGGAGUGGCAAGGGGAAAGAGCCUGUCUCAAAUGGUUCCUCGUUGAAUUCAUCUACUGAUUGGGGUUCUGGAUUCAGAGAGCUUGAUUCUGUUAAAUUCCCUGCAAGGAAUUUAGCCUCACCAAGAAAGGUUAAAAGGAAAUGGCAUAGUAGGGAAGAUAGGAGACAUGAUAAGCAGUAUGGUGAUGCAGUUUUGGUGCCAUCUGAUGGCGGGGUUUGCUUGUCAGGGUCGGAAUCCGAUGACCCAGAUUGGUCAAUCGGGUGGGUGGAGCCUCAUGGACCUGAUUUUAGAAGUGAUGAUGAGACUGAUGAUGGCUUUGCCGUGUUGGUUCCUUGUUACAGACCUGGUUGCAAGGAAUUAGUGGAAAAUUCAACUAACCAGCUUUUAAGUGCUAUAAAGAAUUUACCAAAUGAGUUCUCUUCUGGUAAAAUAUCUUCCUUUUUGCCUAUUUUUUUCAUCUUCUUGUUUGUUUCCGUAUUUGUGACGGUUGAAUUUAUUUUUUAAUUUUCAUUAUUAUUUUUUUUGGUGCUUUGACUGUGUUUGAAGUUUAAGAUUAGUGUUGAGAAUAGAGUGAUUAAGUUGUGGAUUUUGCCAAAUCUAAGGAUUAAGUUGUAAUUUAUCCCUGGAACUGUUUAUUGAUUUUGAGGAAUUUUGGUUGGGUGGUUAAUUGGUCUUGUUUCGAACAAAUCAUGUGGGCUGUUUUUGUUUGAUUUGAAAUUUUCCCCUAAAAUAUCUGCUAUUGUCGUGAUCUUUUGGUUUGCUAGUUGCAUAUUUGAAUAAGCUACACUAUAGUUAACAUUAACACACUAAUUGCAUCAAAUAUGUUUUCUGAAAGGCUUCUUAGAUCCUAUUUACAAGGCUAAGUAAAUGAACAUGUAAGGAAAUUAGGUAAAGUCCAUUUCAUUCUAUGCAGAUUGAGAGAUUAGAUGCUAAGUUACAAUUGGAAAAUGAUAUAUAAUGCUUAGAAGAAAGGAUGUUGAAUUCUAUAAACAAUGAAGCUUAAGUACGAGUACCCUUUUUGUGAAUAAUUGUAUGCCACAUGUUAUAAAUGGCUGUGUUUUCUGGAGUUUCAAGUGAGUUGAUUAUGACCAUUUCAUGAACAAUCCUUGCAAUCCAUUCGCAAGAUGUUCCAAGUCUGGCCUUCCCAUUUUAAAACCAUAGCCAUGCCUGCCUUGAACUUUAGUUCUGGAAUGGCUUAAAAGCCCAUGAGUACUUCUUUGAGAAGAAUAUGGUCAUUGUCCACAACCAUGGCAAUUAUAGACAAAGAGACAUGAAAUAUAGCAACCUAAUGGAUAACUCUCUGGAGACAUGUGGUAUCUGCCCUUCUGAACUUACAGGAAACUUUGUGAUGACAGUGAUAUACUGGAUGGAUGGGUUGGCAGGAAGGAGAUCUCACCAAGCCAACCGAUUAACAAUGUUAUUGCAAAAUUCCUAUCUGCAAGUUGUGUUGUACAUGAGUCUUUAAUGAUGCACUUGUUAUUAGACUGUUAUGGUUCAUAAAUUGUCUGUACUUAUAUCGAUUCAAUGUGUAUUUUUUCCCCCUUUUUUUUUUGCCUGUAAAGUCACUUCUUCAUUUUUGUGAAUUCAUUCCAGUGGAUGCCUUAUUCUACUACUUUAUUUGGGCCUAAAAUUUAAAAUGCACGCUAAGUUCUUUUUUCAUUGAAUAUGCAGAGGGAAAGAACUACAUGGAAUGGCUUUCUUCCUUCAGAAUUUCUCAAGUCUAGAGUUGGCUGGCGAUUGCUGGAACAGUCAUUGCAUGAUACAUUUCAAUUAGCCAGCCUGUUAUGAAAUUUAUUUUGUGAGUGAUAGAAAAAAUAGUCUAAUCAGCAAAAUUAUCUACGCACUACCUUCACACAUUGAAGUGCAAAGGAUUAUGUGCCAACUAUAUGCCGAUGCAAUCAAGCUGAUGGUAAUGUUGUCUAGUUUAGAGAAAAUGUUAAACUUAUUUAAUUUAGAGUUGAGUUAGAAGAAAGAUGUUUCUCAGCGCAUAUCAUGGUAUGCUAGUGAUAUUUCUAUGAGUAGAUGCUGAUCAACUGGUUGACAUGGAAAUAUGAGAUGGGAUGGGAUUUCUUUUUGUAAAUACUACUGCUGCUGUGAAUAUAUAUGCUUUUGAGCUUAUUAGUACUCGUAAAUAAUUCUUAUAUUUCCUGUUAAUCAGUGUUCAAUAUCAUAAUUUCAUACUUUCUGAUGUAUGCAAAAGUUUAUGUUCAUCCCCAUUUGUUUAUUUGGUAUAAUUUCAUAAUUUCUUUUUAUUUUCAUGUCUUGGACCCAAAGCUCAAACACAUUUUCGUAGCUUUCAGCUAAAACAAAUUGACCACUGGCCCAUCGAUUUGGAGAUUCUACCAUUUGAAUCUUUUUGAGUAGCUUGCUCUUCAAUAAUGGUCUCUAAGUUAAAGCCUACAUGUUUCAUCUUUUCUCAUAAUGAAGAGUAGCUCUGCCUUUUUUUCUCAAAAACCUUUCUCAUGAAAUUUCUUUAGUCGGCCUAUGAUAAAGACUAGAUAAAUUUCCUUUUGAUUUUAUACCUAGCAUAUCAUUGGCAAAAUA
This 3529-nucleotide unclassified non-coding RNA is filed under the name Hevea brasiliensis (rubber tree). The record is from RNAcentral. Lineage: Eukaryota; Viridiplantae; Streptophyta; Magnoliopsida; Malpighiales; Euphorbiaceae.